Molecule: ribosomal RNA, 433 nt
Filed under: uncultured bacterium
Lineage: Bacteria
Description: partial 16S ribosomal RNA
Rfam family: Bacterial small subunit ribosomal RNA
Source: RNAcentral
AACGAACGCUGGCGGCAUGCCUAACACAUGCAAGUCGAACGAGACCUUCGGGUCUAGUGGCGCACGGGGGCGUAACGCGUGGGAACCUGCCCUUAGGUUCGGAAUAACUCCCCGAAAGGGGUGCUAAUACCGGAUAAUGUCUUCGGACCAAAGAUUUAUCGCCUUUGGAUGGGCCCGCGUUGGAUUAGCUAGUUGGUAGUGUAAAAGCCUACCAAGGCGACGAUCCAUAGCUGGUCUGAGAGGAUGAUCAGCCACGCUGGGACUGAGACACGGCCCAGACUCCUACGGGAGGCAGCAGUGGGGAAUAUUGGACAAUGGGCGAAGGCCUGAUCCAGCAAUGCCGCGUGAGUGAUGAAGGCCUUAGGGUUGUAAAGCUCUUUUACCCGGGAUGAUAAUGACAGUACCGGGAGAAUAAGCUCCGGCUAACUCCGUG